AUACUUACCUGUUAGAAGAGAUACCAAGAUCAAGAAGAUGGUUUUCCAGGGAGAGUCUUAUCCAUUUCACUUUCAAUGUGCUGACCCCAAAAUUUCCAAACUGCAUAAUUUGUGGUAGUGGGGUACUGUAUUCAUGCUCUCCCCCG
Molecule: small nuclear RNA, 146 nt
Filed under: Sorex araneus (European shrew)
Lineage: Eukaryota; Metazoa; Chordata; Mammalia; Eulipotyphla; Soricidae
Description: U1 spliceosomal RNA (ENSSARG00000016292.1)
Rfam family: U1 spliceosomal RNA
About the family: U1 is a small nuclear RNA (snRNA) component of the spliceosome (involved in pre-mRNA splicing). Its 5' end forms complementary base pairs with the 5' splice junction, thus defining the 5' donor site of an intron.
Source: RNAcentral